Cataglyphis hispanica is the source of this 484-nucleotide long non-coding RNA. RefSeq lists it as uncharacterized. The transcript has 3 exons. Lineage: Eukaryota; Metazoa; Arthropoda; Insecta; Hymenoptera; Formicidae. The record is from RefSeq and is a predicted model, not a curated record.
GUGUGUUGAAUUUUUUCCGAUGGCUAUGAUAACAUACUUGCCCGACAAUGUGAUUACUAUCAUUCUAGAAGAGAAAAACAUCAGCUUGGAGAAUAUCAUGAAUUUUAAGUCCACGUGUAAAGAUUCCAGGAGAUGACACUAUCUAACAAGUUUUAGGAAAGGAAAUAUUAUCAGAGUUAUUUUGCUGAAUUUCUCUGAUGGCUACAAUAACAAAUUUGCCCGACGAUGUGAUUAUUAUCAUUCUGGGAAGAAUGAGCAUCAGCUUCGAGGAUAUCGCGAAUUUUCAGUCCACGUGCAAAAGACUUCAGCAGAUAACACUAUCCAACAAAUUUUGGGAAAGGAAAUAUUAUCAGAGCUGUCCUACUGCAGAAAAUAAAUAUAACAAAACGAAACAAAAGAAAAUAUUUCAUCAAAACAAUUUCAAAGAAAAACUAAAAGCAGGAUUAUAUCAUGUUCAAAAGUUCCAAAAUUAUGCGUCUUUGAU